Molecule: long non-coding RNA, 659 nt
Organism: Eriocheir sinensis (Chinese mitten crab)
Lineage: Eukaryota; Metazoa; Arthropoda; Malacostraca; Decapoda; Varunidae
Exons: 3
Source: RefSeq, a predicted model, not a curated record
CGAAUGAACUCGUAAGAAAAACGGAGGAAAAUUCUUGUUCUUCGCUGUCUCUGUCUCUCACUCUCUCAGACGCUUGUAAACACGUAUGGUAUAACAAAAGGAAACACAACGAAUCACUACUGGGCCAAAGACUAACGCAGGAGGUAGACAGAAGUAGAAGUAGACAAUAGAAGUUCGUAGAGUUCUUAGAUGUCUCUGUUUUUCACUACCUUAGACGCUUGUAAACACGUGCGAGAAAGUAUACAGCAAAGCGAGGCACAGCGAAUCAAUACUGGGCCAAAGACUAACGCAGGAGGUAAGCAGUGAAGUUGGUAAUGCUUUCUUGUCUGUUUUUCACUGCCAUAGACGCUUGUAUACACGUGCGAGAAAGUAUACAACAAAACGAGGCACAGCGAAUCAAUACUGGGCCAAAGACUAACGCAAGAGGUAAGCAGUGAAGUUGGUAAUGCUUUCUUGUCUCUGUUUUUCACUGCCUAAGCCUCUUGUAUACACGGGCGAGAAAGUAAACAGCAAAGCGAGGCACAGCGUAUCACUAAUAGCCCGAAGACUGACGCAAGAGGUAUCAAGAAACGGCAAUUAGAUGCUAGUUCUUUGCAGCUUCUCUGUCUCUGCUUAUUACAGCCUCAGCCCCUUAUAAAACACGCGCGAACCGAGGCGAA